RNAcentral lists this ribosomal RNA (497 nucleotides) under uncultured bacterium. RNAcentral describes it as "partial 16S ribosomal RNA". It matches the Rfam family "Bacterial small subunit ribosomal RNA", at positions 28 to 507 of the family's 1533-position model. The record is from RNAcentral.
GAUGAACGCUGGCGGCGUGCCUAAUACAUGCAAGUCGAGCGAACGGACGAGAAGCUUGCUUCUCUGAUGUUAGCGGCGGACGGGUGAGUAACACGUGGAUAACCUACCUAUAAGACUGGGAUAACUUCGGGAAACCGGAGCUAAUACCGGAUAAUAUUUUGAACCGCAUGGUUCAAAAGUGAAAGACGGUCUUGCUGUCACUUAUAGAUGGAUCCGCGCUGCAUUAGCUAGUUGGUAAGGUAACGGCUUACCAAGGCAACGAUGCAUAGCCGACCUGAGAGGGUGAUCGGCCACACUGGAACUGAGACACAGUCCAGACUCCUACGGGAGGCAGCAGUAGGGAAUCUUCCGCAAUGGACGAAAGCCUGACGGAGCAACGCCGCGUGAGUGAUGAAGGUCUUCGGAUCGUAAAACUCUGUUAUUAGGGAAGAACAUAUGUGUAAGUAACUGUGCACAUCUUGACGGUACCUAAUCAGAAAGCCACGGCUAACUACGUG